RNAcentral lists this ribosomal RNA (540 nucleotides) under Aspergillus sp. RNAcentral describes it as "eukaryotic LSU rRNA". The stretch from base 171 to 324 matches the Rfam family "5.8S ribosomal RNA". Lineage: Eukaryota; Fungi; Ascomycota; Eurotiomycetes; Eurotiales; Aspergillaceae. The record is from RNAcentral.
GUUCUAGCGAGCCCAACCUCCCACCCGUGUUUACUGUACCUUAGUUGCUUCGGCGGGCCCGCCAUUCAUGGCCGCCGGGGGCUCUCAGCCCCGGGCCCGCGCCCGCCGGAGACACCACGAACUCUGUCUGAUCUAGUGAAGUCUGAGUUGAUUGUAUCGCAAUCAGUUAAAACUUUCAACAAUGGAUCUCUUGGUUCCGGCAUCGAUGAAGAACGCAGCGAAAUGCGAUAACUAGUGUGAAUUGCAGAAUUCCGUGAAUCAUCGAGUCUUUGAACGCACAUUGCGCCCCCUGGUAUUCCGGGGGGCAUGCCUGUCCGAGCGUCAUUGCUGCCCAUCAAGCACGGCUUGUGUGUUGGGUCGUCGUCCCCUCUCCGGGGGGGACGGGCCCCAAAGGCAGCGGCGGCACCGCGUCCGAUCCUCGAGCGUAUGGGGCUUUGUCACCCGCUCUGUAGGCCCGGCCGGCGCUUGCCGAACGCAAAUCAAUCUUUUUCCAGGUUGACCUCGGAUCAGGUAGGGAUACCCGCUGAACUUAAGCAUAUC